UCUGUGUAUACACGAACACUAACACACACAACUCGACAACAAAUAAAAAUCCGAUUUUCACAAACGAUCCCACGACAUAUUUAUUAUUAAAUAUUGUUCGUUUUGCAUUCAAUUGAUUCUCACUACAACAAUGGUUCAUCAUUAUUAUCAAUUUGUAGAAACCAUAAAGGUGAUAGUCCAAUUGUAUCAGUAAAAAAGAUGAAUAGCUGUUCGCUAUUUUUAGGCAUUGAUAAUCUUUUGGUUUGAUUUCCAUUAUUACGUUAUUUUGCCUAUUUUCAAUCAUACAACAUUUUCUUAUUGUAACAUUGAAGAAAUCUUUUCCAAACGUUUUGCGGUUCUGUCUCUGUGCAUUUUUAGUUUAUGGAGGAUUUUGUUUUUGUGGUUGGGUCGUUUUUGGUCCUCAUCUCAAAUUUCGUACGCUAAGCUAACAUUGGAAUGUUUGUUUUCACUUAUGAACGGUGAUGAUAUGUUUGCUACAUUUUUUUCCAUUGAUGUGAAAAAUCAUUAAAUUGAAAUUCGAUUGAUGAUUAUGUUCGAGAUCAAUUCGGCGGUUCCAUUGUUCAUCAGCAUCCAAUUCAAGAAUAGUUUGACCAUGUUCAACACAUGAUAUCAGAUUAGGCUUAGGACAUGGUCUGAACUAUUUCCUAUUGAAUUUGAUGCUGAUUGAAUCUUUGGAAUCAAUGAAGCGAUCGAAAACAUGAUUAUAAGUUGAAGAUUCAUGGGAUGGAACACAUACUUGAAAAUGAUCAUGGAUUGCCGGCGAACAAUUGGGAAAUUGAAUCUCGAACCACGGAUAGAAUUUGGACAUUGUCUUGGAACAUGGACCGCGAACAUUGGAUCUAUUUCAAACGGGACAAUUAACGUUGUAUGGCGCAAUUGGGAUGUGAAAUAUGGAUGUAUUUUAUUAUAUUUCUAAUAUUUUAAUAAAUUAAUAUAUCAAUAAAAUCAAUUAAAUUUCAA
Non-coding RNA from Dermatophagoides farinae (American house dust mite), 960 nucleotides. Lineage: Eukaryota; Metazoa; Arthropoda; Arachnida; Sarcoptiformes; Pyroglyphidae. The record is from RefSeq and is a predicted model, not a curated record.